RNAcentral lists this ribosomal RNA (253 nucleotides) under uncultured bacterium. RNAcentral's name for it is "partial 16S ribosomal RNA". It matches the Rfam family "Bacterial small subunit ribosomal RNA", at positions 524 to 776 of the family's 1533-position model. The record is from RNAcentral.
UACGUAGGGGGCAAGCGUUGUCCGGAAUCAUUGGGCGUAAAGCGCGUGUAGGCGGCUUGAUAAGUCCGCUCUGAAAGCCCGGGGCUCAACCCCGGGAGGCGGGUGGAUACUGUCAAGCUCGAGUCCGGAAGAGGCGAGUGGAAUUCCUGGUGUAGCGGUGAAAUGCGCAGAUAUCAGGAGGAACACCGGUGGCGAAGGCGGGUCUCUGGGCCGAUACUGACGCUGAGGAGCGAAAGCGUGGGGAGCGAACAGG